UAUCUCCCUUACACUGAGACGACGUCUGUUCAAAUCAGACUGCCCCG
This 47-nucleotide transfer RNA is filed under the name Steindachneria argentea (luminous hake). RNAcentral describes it as "partial tRNA-Val". The record is from RNAcentral. Lineage: Eukaryota; Metazoa; Chordata; Actinopteri; Gadiformes; Steindachneriidae.